CCUACGGGAGGGCAGCAGUGGGGAAUAUUGGACAAUGGGGGCAACCCUGAUCCAGCGACGCCGCGUGUGUGAAGAAGGCCUGCGGGUUGUAAAGCACUUUUAGUGGGGAGGAAGGUCUGCGACCUAACACGUCGUGGAAUUGACUUAACCCACAGAAAAAGCACCGGCUAACUCUGUGC
RNAcentral lists this ribosomal RNA (179 nucleotides) under uncultured bacterium. RNAcentral describes it as "partial 16S ribosomal RNA". It matches the Rfam family "Bacterial small subunit ribosomal RNA", at positions 338 to 508 of the family's 1533-position model. The record is from RNAcentral.